CAUUUAACUCCCAGGAAUUUGCCACCAAACCUUCAUAAAGCACUGAGUAGCAGAUAUCAUAUGCUUCAUAGUUGAACUUCAUAGAAAGCUCUAAGAUGACCCCUGCAGUUGUCUACUGGUGUGUGCUACUGACUGCUGUCCUGGCCCAAUGGACAAGUGCACUGGAUCUAGAGUCCCUAGGAUACACAUCUGCGCUAUCAUUAAAACAACUAGAAGCCACUAAUGGAUCUUAUACACAAACACUUCGCUUUCAAGUGUGCAGAACUGAUAAUGACACAAACUUUUCAGUGGUAGUUAGAAAAGGAGGCCUAGACAUUGGCAACGCUCGUGUGGAUUACCCAAUUUAUAAGACAGAAGACAUCACGGUCACGUACAACCAAGAAUGGUUUCCAGACAAGUUUUGCAAGAGAGCCGAUGUCUAUUUACACGAAGGUGAUGUGGACAACGGAACAAUCCUACAGUUGGUACUAUAUCAAGCCAACCAGACCACUGCAAAUAUUGUGCGUGAUAUAACAGUGCCCUUCACAGUGGAAGAUGAUAAGUGCACAACAAGUGGAGCAAAAGGUUCUCCUAUGCCAGCAUUGAAGAUGCUUAUCUCUCUUAUUGCCAUGGUUGUCAUGAUCGCCCUACGGUGUAUGUGGUGAGGUUGGUGACUCCUAAAGCAACUGGGGUAUGUUAUGUUAUAGAUAGUACAUGGGCAUGAGGUAUCUAUGUGUUAUAGUGUCCCAUAUCACGAGGGCUUUGCCCGAGGGAUGAGGGACACUGUAUAACCAUAGAUAUAUACCGAAUGCACAUGUGCUAACUGAUUUAGAUCCCACUUUUCAUUGGCUGCCUCAGGCAAGAAGUGUAUCUAAAAGCAGCAAGCCUUAGCAACAGCUUUAUUUUUGAAAAUGUCCUGUUCUGACAAGCUAGUCUAGAUGAUUUCUGCUAAAAAAAACCUUUGCAUUGGCCUUGCUUCAAUGUUGGAAUGGACAAACUAGUGACUCCACCUUGUGCAGGAAGCGCUCUGCAACAAAUGAGCCCAGCCUCGAUCCUCUUUCUCUUUCUCUGCACUCAAGCCCCACCCCAGCUCAACUGUUCUGAUAUGUACGGCUAGCUAGCAAGGAACAGCUUGCAGCAAUGCUACAGUGCACUAUUGUUCCCAAAAAGACACAGGAGUCUACUGAAGUAAACAAUUGAAACAUGGCUGCAGGAUAGAAACAGAAGUCAGGACGACGAAGUUGACAAAUGCUACAAGUUGAAGACAUGCUUUCAUGCUUGUGACAAUGGACCCAGAACUGUUAAAAUCAUUGGCUCUUAGUGUUCCUCGUAGAGACAAGAAAAGAUACUGGUGAACCCUACCAUCAACCCAGCAAACGCUAUAGAAACUGGUAGUGAAAAAACUGAACAGCCAUAGCUAAUUAUCAUGCAGCUACAGCUUUAUUAUCAUUUCUGUACAUUCAAAAAUUGUACUUGUACUUUAUACCCUCAAGCUUAUAAUUCCCUGGGAAACUAUGAGAUUAUGGCUCAUUAUAUCCCGUUGCUAUGUUGUUGCCAAGUGCAAUAUGAACCAUUAUUGCACUGCUGAAAAGUCAUAUUGCACUGACCACAAAACGCCCCUCUGGUAUAAUUAAAUUAAAUAUUGUAUCAUGAGAAAUAACAAGUAUCAAAGUAAGUCCAGCCAUGCAGGAAUGUUCAGCACUGCUGGAAUUUCUUCUUUGCAACCAUGCAGGUUUUAAAAUCGUCCCAGGCUCAUUUUGUGAAGAUUCUGUGUUCCUAGACCUAGUCCUCCACUUCUUGAUGCAUGGUCAAUUCUGGCUUCACCAUAGGCAUAGCACUAGAAGCGGCUCUUUUUGCAGGGGGCUUGAGCUGUUUUGCAGCAGUGUAGAGGCGAGCUUCUUUGGCUUGGUUAUGAUGCCGAGGAUAUCGAUAGUGGAGGGGGCUGUUCGAGCAGCAGUUACACUGAUGAGUAGUAUAGUAUAGUGGGGUGGGGCUGUUUCUUCGCAGCAGUAAAUGGGGUGGGGCUGUUUCUUUGCAGCAGUAGAGGGGUGGGGCUGUUUUGCAGCACCAGAAGUGGGGUGGGGCUGUUUUGCAGUAGUUUCAGCGUUGGAACUCCAACAAUUUUGUGUCAAGCCAUUCGUCGGUCAUGCCAAUCUUAUACGCUGCAUAUACUGGCGUGUAGGAGAGAGAAGAGAUGGAGCUGUGUCUAGAGUUGUCUCUGUCUUUUUUUGUGCAGUUUAUAUUGUGUUACUAGGACAGUGUUAUGUUGCUAUGCCCUAGGGAUAUAAACUAGUUAUAACACGUGCACUCGGGCUGCAUGACAUAUAUUGCACUCAGCCCUCGGGGCUGGCGCCCUCGUGCUUCAGUGCAAUAUAUUCUAUACAUCCCUUGUGCCCGUGUUAUAACUAUAACUAAUUCCCUGCUAAACACACACAAGUGGGAUCUAAAUAUAUAUAUAUAUAUACACCAUUAAUUAGAAACUGCUGAACAUGUAAAGUCUAACGAUGCAUAACCAUAUAAUAUAUAUGCUGCAGUGGAGGGAGGCUACGUUAUUCGAUAGUUAAACCAUUGCAGUGCUACCACUCUCAAUGCAUGUGAGUACAUCUCAUACAAACACACACACACACACACAGAAAGAUGGCUCUCACAUUAUGAAGAACAUUUGAUUUUUUAUACUCUAGUGCCUGAUACACUCUAAUAAUUUAUGUUCAGUAGCACCUAUAACCCUAACCCUAACCCUAACCCUAUUAUCUAUCACCAACAAGAAUCAUUUUAUGUUAUUUGUGUAUGCCAUACUCUGAGAAAUACUGAUUAAGCUGCCAAUUUGAAAUUAAAAAUACAUGAUUCUCGACUCACCAGAAUUUUCAUACCUAAACUUAUUACUGAAUGUUAUGCAGUCGUCGUACCGCUCUUUAGCUAGCUAACGACACAUUAGAUUAGAUCCCCCGACAAUACUAUUGUACAUACCAUAAUUAUCUCCAUAAAUGUAUCACUGUCAAAUGGAAUGCGUGGGAGCUGUCUCAACUUAUCAGUAAUACACAGCCACUCAUUUCUUCACCAGGAAAGCCUUUGUACUUACUCUACAAGUUUUUUUUCAAUGGCUGAAGAGCCAAGUGCUCCCCAAGAAGCUCUCUCCAAAUUGAAGGACCAGCUGUCAUGCCUCGUCUGUGUGGAAGUUCCGAACCCUACACCAACCCUAGACUGCUUUCCUGUUUUCAUAUCUACUGUCAACAUUGUCUCGAGGAUAUAGUUGCCCACAAUGAACCAAGCCAGCUUGAAUGUCCCAGGUGUCACUGGCCCACCCCCUACCCCCCACUGGUGUGAGUGGCCUCCAGGCUGCAUUCCAUAUUCAUUACCUUUUGAUAUCCAAGAAACACUCAAAAAGAUCAAGGAGCCUCAAAACUUAGCCGGUGAGAAAUGCUCCAGGACGACUCGUAAAGCUACCAGCUUUUGCCGACAAUGCACCAAGUUCAUCUGCGAUAUGUGUACGACCAUGCACAAAGAGUGGGAGGAUUUUGAAGGCCAUAAUCGGAGCACAACGAGCUAGUUUUCGAUUAUCAAAUAAUGAUCCUAAUCAACUCAUCCAAAUUCCAUCCUCAAGCACUAAAGUCGAGCUCUUAUCAGGAUCAACUUAUCAGGAUCAACAAAUCAGACGACAAAAUGUGUUGUGAAGGAACGAAGGAAGUGAGAGUACGAGAACUCUUUCCAGCCAAUAGUGGGUAAGGCUACAUGUGAGAGUGGGUGAGGAAGAGGUGGCAGAAAGUUCAUUUCUGGUGGCAGUCAAGACUCCGAUCAAUAAACUGGGAACUAUCGUUAGAUUUAUUGAAGUUUUCAAAUCACCUUGGGGAGUGGCAGUCAACAAGAGAGGUGAAGUGAUUGUGGCUGAAAGCGAUGCAGGUGUUGUUUCAAUCUUUAGCCCAACAGGAGACAAGCCGCAAACAUUAGAUACUAAACGCACGGUUGUUGGAGAGGUGAAGAAUCUUCGUGGUGUGGCAUUAGACGGUGAAGACAAUAUUCUGGUGGUAGACCGUGGCAAUCAUCGACUGUUGAAGUUCUCACGUGAAGGAGACUUGAUAGCAGCACUAUAGGUAGUCAUAGGGAUGGUCCUAUACAGUUUUCUGCACCUUAUGGUGUGUGUGUCAACAGUGUCAAUGGGAAGGUGUAUGUGGUUGAUCGUGGUACUCACUGUGUUAUUAUCAUCAACUCUGACCUCACCUUCUCUAGUAAGUUCGGCAGUUAUGGCAAUGGUGAGGGACAGUUUGAUUCUCCCUGGGACGUUACAUCCGAUCAUAAUGGUUGUGUGUAUGUGGCUGAUUUUGUUAAUGAUCGAGUGCAAGUCUUCACACCCGAUGGUGGCUAUCUGAGGCAGUUUGGGAAAGAGAGGCAAUGGAAAAGGAGAACUUAACAGGCCUGCCAGCACCUGUGUGAACAAUAAAGGUCUGGUGUAUGUGGGGGAGAGCAUAAACCAGCGGGUCUCAGUAUUCACGUGUGAGGGGGUGUUUGUCAAGUCAUUUGGAUCAUUGGGAUCUGGACCAGGACAGUUCAAAGAACCUUUGGGCAUAGCAGUCGACCAGUUUGGUGUGGUGUAUGUGUCUGAUCAUGACAAUGAUAGAGUGCAAAUUUUUUAUUAGUUUUGUUGCCAUGCCUCAUUAAUUUUUGUGAAAGCAUUUUGCCCCAUCAGAAAUUAAAUGUCAUAGUCACAUGCAGGUAUAGCAACUGCAAUGCCAUGCAUGUGCAUUAAAAUUAUAGUGCAUGACUGCAUGUAUACUCAUUACUCUUCUCUAUCCCACCCUGGUAGGAGAGUUGGACUU
Long non-coding RNA from Halichondria panicea, 4790 nucleotides. RefSeq lists it as uncharacterized. The record is from RefSeq and is a predicted model, not a curated record. NCBI's taxonomy places the organism in Eukaryota, Metazoa, Porifera, Demospongiae, Suberitida, Halichondriidae. The transcript is spliced from 4 exons.